RNAcentral lists this long non-coding RNA (4003 nucleotides) under Mus musculus (house mouse). RNAcentral describes it as "long non-coding RNA chr1:160755686-160759689". The record is from RNAcentral. Lineage: Eukaryota; Metazoa; Chordata; Mammalia; Rodentia; Muridae.
GAGGAGAAACUAUCAGAAAAAAGACCAAAAAUUUAAACUAAAAAAAAAAAGAUUUUAAAAAGGUAAAAUAAAAUAAAAUAAGACUUUGCUAAAGAACCAUAAGAUAUAUGUCAUGGGGAGUAGAAUGUGGUGAUUUGAAUAUGCUUGGCCAAUGAAAGUGGCACUAUUAGGAUGUGUAGCCUUGUAGGACAAAGUGUAUCACUAUAGGGGUGAGUUUUGAGGUCUCCUCCUAUGCUCAGGCCCUGCCCAGUGUGGAUACGUCUCCUAUGUGGUUGCCUGCAGGAGAGUCUUCUCCUGGUGGCCUUCAGAUCAAGAUAUAGCACUCCUGGCUCCUGUAACACCAUAUCUGCCUGCACGCUGCCAUGCAUGAUAAUGGUGGACUGAACCUCUCAAACUGUAAGCCAGUCCCAGUUAAAUGUUUUCCUUUAUAAGGGUUACCUUGGUCAUGGUGUCUCUUCACAGCAAUGAAACCUAAACUAAGACAUAGGUUAAUUACAUAUUUAUAUAGAUCAAGAGUAAUAAAUAGUAAACUGGAAAAUAACACUUAAAAUACUAUAAUAUCCAAAAUACUAAGUUCUAUGCUUAUUAUUCAUCUUUGGAUAUAGAAAGUUAAUCUUUCUAUCUUGCUGUCCAAGGAAAGUAAAUAAUAACAACCUCUACAAACCCUAACAGAAAAUUUUUAGAUGAGUAAAAGGGUCAAAUUUCUAUUCAAAUGAAGAUAAUUAUUUAGGAAAUACACAUCAGUAUAUAAAAUGCUAGCACUACUAUCAGCUGGUAAGACAAUUACCAUCUUCAGCCUAUAAAAAAUGAACAUUUUAUAAUAAAACAUAAUGAGCAAUACAAGAGAUAGAGGAUGGUAAAGAAAUAUUCCAUGGUCUCAUGUAUCAUCACAAAAGGCAAGGGAUCGGAGGGAUGAUUGCACAGGCAUGAACAGUGGACAUCUGCAAAACAGUAUUUACCAGAUGUGACAACAGUGUUGCACAUACCAACAUACAAACAAAGGCUAUGAUGGCAUGCAAAAAAAAAAAAAAAAAAACCCUAAAUCAAAGCAUCCAAAACAAAAUCAAACCAUCGAAAAUUACAUCCCGGAUGGAGAAGGGAUUUUAAGUAGCUAAGGAGCUACUGAUAACUGAGGGCAACUAAAGAGAACUAGAGUAGUUUUGCUUUUUUUGCUUUUUGCUUUUUGCUUGCUGCUUGCUGCUGCUUGCUUGCUGCUGCUUGCUUGCUGCUGCUUGCUGCUUCUUUUGCUGCUUCUUUUGCUGCUUCUUUUGCUGCUUGCUGCUGCUUGCUGCUUGCUGCUUCUUGUUUCUUGCUUCUUGCUUCUUGCUUCUUGCUUCUUGCUUCUUGCUUCUUGCUUCUUGCUUCUUGCUUUGCUGGGAUGUAGCCACUGAGAAGCUACCUAUACUCCAAUAGAUAGAUUCUCCUAUUCACACAUACAGGGAGCACUAAGUAGACUCAAUUAAAAGGAAACAAAAAGCACAAAAAGUUGGGAAAGAAAAGCAGUGAAUGGGAUUGAAGAACUGAAAAGAAGGACACAUAAGGAGUAGAUUUGAUCAAAACACAUAUGUUUAUAUAACAAUAUAAAAAAAUGUUAAGAAAAAUAUUUCACUGAACAUUCAUCUAUCCUUAUGGCAAAGUCAUGCAAAAAUCAUGUUUUUCUACCUUCUCAGGGGCUAGAGAGAUGGCUCAGUGGUUAAGAGCACUGACUGCUUUUCCAGAGGCCCUGAGUUCAAUUCCCAGCAACCACACACAGAUGGCUCACAACCAUCUGUGAUGGAAGCUGAUGCCCUCUUCUGGUGUGUCUGAAGACAGCUACAGUGUGCUCAUGUUUUUCUAUCUUCUCUAAUUUCAAAAUAGACUAAAAGUGAAAUUUAUACAGAGAUAUAUGCUUAAGGAUACACUGAGAUUGGUAAGACAGCUCCUCCAAAGACCCUGCAAUUAGAAGUCAUGCUAAGCACCAGGAACUAAAGUAAAAUAAAUACGUAAUUAGAUGACCAGCCACUGUAAAAUAAAACUAAAGCAAACUCCAAACUUCUAAUUAGGAGUCAAAAGAAAAACAAAAACAAAAACUAAUUUUCCCAAAGUAGAAAAGAAAACCAGAGAUAAGUUAAAUAAAACACGUCUUUCUUCACAGUGUACUAUGAAAAAAAUAAUUCACUUAAUAUAAAUAUCUCUUGUUUUUCCUCUGUGAAAAUGUACUUAGCUACAGUGGAUGGUGCUGAAAUACCACACUCUCUCAUGUAUGGGUCUUACACAGUUUACAUAUCUAGAUACAUAAAAUCAUGUAUGUGCCAGUAUCAUGGAAGAAGUGAAUAUGUAUGGGGUCUGGCAGACAGUAGGAGGGGUAAGAUGGGGAGGAAAGAGGGUAGAAGAGACUUGGGGCAACAUACAUGAAAACGGUCUUAUGCGAUUCAACCUAAUAGAUUUUAAAAUAAGUCACUUGCCAAUUUUGACUAGGGGUUUGUGUUAUCUAGGCAACUUCACCUCAAGAAAGCAGAUGACUACCACUGCUACACUAUAUUCUAAGGCCUAGAGAUAACCUCCCAUAAACCAAAACAGAAGGCAGCUAGAGCAUUAAAAUAGCAUUUUGUGAUCCUGAGAACAAACAGGUAUUACUUUUACAUGGUUUCAUAAAAUAAAUAAAAGAACAUUAAAGAGUAUACUCUGCAAUCAGUUUGACGUUAGGGUCUGUCUGAUCACGCAGCUGGUGGAGGCACUUCCCUGCAGGCCUGGCAGCAGGGAUCCACAAGGGGGCAGGAGCGAUCACCUCAGAGUUGUCUCUCAUCUCCAUAAGCUAUGAGCUUGACUGUAUGCACAUACACAUACACACUAAUUGUUAUGUUUUAUUCCACAUUAAAAUAUUUUAAGUAAAUGCUGUUUUGAUUUUGGUUGUUUUAGUUUUCUGUUUUGUUUUUUUAGUACUAUCAAUAAAACCCAGUUAAAUUUGCCUUAUGCAUGGUAGGCAAGUUCUCUUUUUGAACUAAGAUUCUUGUCUUUUUUCUUUUUUGUUGUUGUUAUUGUUGUUGUUGUUAUGAUGGCGGUGGUGGUGGUCUGGACUGGUUUGUUUUGUCCUGUUUUGUUUUGUUUUGUUUUGUUUUGUUUUGUUUUUUAAAGGGUCUUCCUAAGCUGCCUGUCUUACUUUUCUAUUUCUGGAUUUCUGUGUAUAAAACAUCACGACCAAGGAAACUUACAAAAGGAAGAGUUUAUUGAGAGAUGACAGUUUAAAAAGGUUAGAGUGCAUGACUAUCAUGAUGGAGAACAUGGCUGUAAGCAGGGGCAAGCAGGCAUGGAGCUAGAACAGUAGCUGAGUUCACAUCUUAACCACAAGCAUGGGGGAGAGAGAACUAACUGGUAAUAUAAACUUUUGAAAUCUAAAAGCUCAUGCACAUUGACAUUCCUUUUCCAACAGGCCAUACUUUCUAAUCUUUCAAAGCUUUCACAAACAGUUCCACCAACUGAAGACCAAGCAUUCAAAAUAUAUCAACCCAUAAAGGCCAUUUUUUUUAUUUUAAUAAUAUUUGUGUUAUUUAUUUGGGUAUUUAACAUUAUGUACCCCAACCACACUCACCUCCCAGUUCUCCCAGGUCCAUCCCUCCAUCCUUGUUACCCUGCCCCAAGAAAAAAAAAAAAAAAGAAAAAAAAGUGCAAUUUGUAUUGUCCAUAUACUCAAUGGAGUACGGUCAAACUCCCAGUGGCCAGCCCCUUAAAGAAAAUGCAGUCCUUCCUCACCCGCUCCCCAGCCAGGAGCCAUCAAUUGUGGAGCACUACACUUCAGCAUCCUUAUCACAAUUUUUUAGAGUUCUCUUUGAUGGUUUUCUGUCUAGGUUGUCUAGGGGUGAGAGUAGGGUGUUGUCACAGAAGCCUUCUAUGUCACUCUUUCUCAACUUUGAGUCUACAGUCAUCAAUACCACUUUAAAAGUAGCUUCCUUGCCCUUUAUAGUCAGUGGGAUCAUGGAUUCUGGUGACAGCAUAGACAGAUAUCCACACGGCUUCUAGCAUCAAC